CACACUGUAAUGACAGCCCGGAUUCCUCUGGUCUCCCUCAGAAUACGACGCUUCCUCUUGAUGUUUGUGGCAAGACAGCUAUGAGGGCAUCUUGAAAGGGGGUCUUUCUUUUUGCAGCAACAUGUAGAGUUUAUUUAACUUUUCAUCCUGCCUUUAGCGUUUUCGUUAUUUGGUGUAUUGCUGUUGUGGAUAAAACCAUAGCACAAAAAUAUGAGUUUUGUGCGUGGGGUAUUUUUUCCUUACGUCAAAAAUAGCCUACAUUCAUCCGUAACUUAAACGCAAUUCUGAAUAUAACUACAAAAGUUAACUAAUCGUGGAUGUAGUCAUGGGGGUAAACUUGAAUUUGCGAUAUCUAAACCAUUAACGUUUGGAUGAAUUGUUUAGCAUGAGAGCAGGUGAGUCAGUCUUCGUGUUUGUCUAGUGAGGCGACGCGCGCAUUGCCCACGGAUAGAACGAAGCCAAGUGUUGGAGAACGGUGGAGAACGGCGCAGUGAUCAGCGGUGAUCUGUGCUGGGGAUUACGCCUCCGAACACUGGGGAAAAGCCAGGCACGCCGAUAUGGGUUCUAAGCUGCGUGAUGGACGACUGGUGCACCUCCCACUCCUCCUGCUCCUCGUCCUCCAGGCCCUGCUGCUGCUCUGCUCUGGUGAACGCACCUGCCCCCACAGCUGCCGUUGUGAUGGGAAAAUCGUCCAUUGCGAGUCAGCUGGCUUCUCAGAUGUCCCUGAGAACAUCUCAGUGGGCUGCCAAGGCCUCUCUCUCCGCUACAAUGACCUGCACACACUGCUCCCCUACCAGUUUGCCCACCUCAACCAAAUCCUCUGGCUCUACCUGGACCACAACCAGAUCUCUGCUCUAGAUAGCCGGUCCUUCCAGGGGGUCCGCAGGCUUAAAGAGCUGAUCCUCAGCUCCAACAAGAUCUCUCAGCUCCACAAUGCCACCUUCCACGGGGUGCCCAACCUCCGCAGCCUGGACCUGUCCUACAACAAGCUGCAGAUGCUGCAGCCGGGGCAGUUCCACGGCCUGAGGAAGCUGCAGAACCUCCACCUCCGCUCAAACGGCCUCACCAACAUCCCCAUCCGGGCCUUCCUGGAAUGUCGCAGCCUGGAGUUUCUGGACCUGGGCUACAACCGUCUCCGGGCCCUCACCAGGACCACUUUCCUGGGGCUGCAGAGGCUCAUGGAGCUGCACCUGGAGCACAACCAGUUCUCCCGGAUCAACUUCUUUCUGUUUCCACGUCUUGCUAACCUGCGGGGGCUCUAUCUGCAGUGGAACCGCAUCCGAGCAGUCAACCAGGGCCUGCCCUGGAGUUGGCACACGCUGCAGAAACUGGACUUGUCUGGCAACGAGAUCCAGACCCUGGACCCAGCCGUAUUCCACUGCCUGCCCAACCUACAGAUCCUCAAUCUGGAGUCCAACAAACUGUCCAACGUGUCCCAGGAGGCAGUGUCUGCCUGGAUAUCUCUGACCUCCAUCAGCCUGGCGGGUAACGUGUGGGAAUGUGGGACAGGCAUCUGCCCACUGGUGGCUUGGCUGAGAAACUUUCGAGGCACUAAAGACACCACCAUGAUAUGCAGCAGCCCAAAGCAUCUCCAGGGAGAGAAGAUCAUGGAGGCUACGAGGAACAACGGAAUUUGUGAGGAAACAGACUACUUCCAGACAGAAACUCCUUCCCCGACACCAGAUUUCAUUGAGACGACACCCGACCCAACCCCUGCUCCCACCAGCCCCCCUCCACCCCUGCCUCCACCUACCACCCUGGCCCCCCUACCCCCACCUCGGCCUCAGCCCCUUCCCCGCCCGACCUUCCCAAGCCGGGUAGGAAUUGACCCCAGAGACUCCCCUCCCCAGGCCCCACCCUCCCUCCGCAGCCUGGUGGUGACUCAGCCCCCAGAGCUGGAGCUCAUGUCCUUCCACAAGGUAGUGGUGGGCAGUGUGGCGCUCUUCUUCUCCAUGUCGCUCAUCCUGACCGUCAUCUAUGUGUCGUGGAGGCGCUACCCGAACGCUGCACGACUCCUGCAGCAGAGCUCCGUGGUGGGCCGCAAGCGACGGAAAAAGAGCCCCGAGCCAGAGCAGAACCUGAGCUCCCAGCUGCAGGAAUAUUACAUGAGCUACAACCCGGCUGCCACCCCGGAGGGUUUGGAGGUGCUCGGCAACGGGACUGGGUCCUGCACCUGCAUCUCUGGCUCCAGGGAAUGCGAGGUAUGACCAGUCACAUGAGCCUUUAAAAACAAAACCCCAAAAGCAAAAACACAAAGGCUCAAGAAAGAGAGAAUGAAUACACGUGUCCCCGACCAUUGCCUGGAGCUUGGCUUGGAGACGUACCCACCAUUCACUAGAAGAUGUAUGUUUAACCAGCCCAUUGCGAACUAGCAGAGGAAUCAGGCCCUACAACACUACAGCUUCUCCAUUACUGUCUGUUCUGAUCCUACAGUGGCACUCUCUAAACGUCUACAGUAUGCCUCCACGAGCCCAUUGACAAUCUAAUAUAGGAGCAAGAAUGACUUUCAUGAUUUCUAUCCCACUGAAUAUUUAUGUUUUCUUUUCUUUUACAAGGUCUCUAUACUCUUUCUGACUGGUUCUCAGCUGCCCUGGGACAGUGUUCAUCCAGCUAUGACCUAGGUUGCUGUUAACGCACCGGCCACUUUAACCCUUUGAUUAGCCAAUUGUGCUAGUCCAGAUUGAGGGGGGUUGAAACACUUCGCGUCUGCAGCACCCCUCUGACCGUUGCCACGGAAACGCGGGACUCUGACUUGGCGUGUGACACAAUGAGCAGUGGAACCCUGUCACUCUGCUGGAGGCUGGCGAUGUGGAAGUGAGCUGUGGAGCUUACGGAACAUUACAUCUAAUGAAGGUGACAAGUGGACAGGGCUGUGACCGCCCAGACAUUUCACAGUGAAGUUUCAGCCCAGCCAUUUCCAUGAUUUUUCUUUGCUGUUGAACAACCCAUUAUUUGCAGCUGUGGUUUAAAAAAAUAUGAAUCAUUUCUGUUCUGUCGAGACGGCUACAAAAAGAGCUAUCCGCUGAUUUGCGGCUCAGAAGUAUUUAUGUGUAUUUUGUUUGCUUUGUAAGUUUACAGUGUGCACCUGUCUGUUGAGUAAUAUUUGAGUUAAGCUGUCAUUGUUCAUCUAGUCCCCUGGGGAGCUGGAGGUCGUUUUCUAAAAGGUCUGAGGAUCUACUCUGGAGAACAACUGAUCCUCUUGCCAAUCACACCCGGUGGAGGACUCAGUCUAUUCCCAGACACACAGACAACUGUAAUUACACACCUUGGCCCAUAAUCAGGCCAGGAAAUAAAAUAAAAAGGUAAACCUGAGUCUCAAGCUUCUCAACUGGGGUAUAUGUCUAUUUCAAGAACGAAAAAUCUACCGUCUCUCUCCGACAACAAAAGCCUUUAGGGGUGGGUGUUUUGAGUGUCUCUGGCCUCUAUUCAGUCAGUGUGAUUUUAAAUUUAAAGGCAAUGUUCCCACGUUAGUUUAGACUGCAUUCACGGUAAACGCUGCAUAUGUUGACUCAAUCGUAAAUGACCUUUACAUUUUCAUUGUGCAAUCUGUAACGCUUCAGCAAUACAGAUUGAAUCCAGCCCUCUGUCUCGUGGGGACUGGGGAGGACUCUCUCCGUGGUUGUUCUGUCACAUUAAGAGAGGACCAGAUGAUUUCACAGUGAAACCAUUUCAAAGCAGAGUUCCCUCUGGGAUAAUACUCACUGAUAUGAGACUAUUGCCAUAGGGUCAGAGCACUAGAGGGACAGAUGUUCUAUAUCCAAUCAGCUCUUUUGUGUGUGUGUGUGUGUGUGUGUGUGUGUGUGUGUGUGUGUGUGUGUGUGUGUGUGUGUGUGUGUGUGUGUGUGUGUGUGUGUGUGUGUGUGUGUGUGUGUGUGUGUGUGUGUGUGUGUGUGUGUGUGUGUGUGUGUGUGUGUGUGUGUGUGUGUGUGUGUGUGUGCGUUCAUUCGUUGGAAUGAUGAACGUUCCACAGAGGAUUCCUUGGAUUCCUCUGUAAUCUUUGAAGAUGGACGAAGCUUCAACUCUCUCCUGUUCUUAUAGUACUACAGUGCUCUUCUGCCAAAU
This is an RNA transcript of Oncorhynchus gorbuscha (pink salmon), 4062 nucleotides long. It is a transcript of the gene named leucine-rich repeat transmembrane neuronal protein 4-like, with no coding region annotated. The record is from RefSeq and is a predicted model, not a curated record. NCBI's taxonomy places the organism in Eukaryota, Metazoa, Chordata, Actinopteri, Salmoniformes, Salmonidae. The transcript is spliced from 3 exons.